AACGCGUGGGAAUCUGCCCUUAGAUUCGGAAUAACAGCUGGAAACGGCUGCUAAUACCGGAUGAUGACGAAAGUCCAAAGAUUUAUCGCCUGAGGAUGAGCCCGCGUUGGAUUAGGUAGUUGGUGGGGUAAAGGCCUACCAAGCCGACGAUCCAUAGCUGGUCUGAGAGGAUGAUCAGCCACACUGGGACUGAGACACGGCCCAGACUCCUACGGGAGGCAGCAGUGGGGAAUAUUGGACAAUGGGCGAAAGCCUGAUCCAGCAAUGCCGCGUGAGUGAUGAAGGCCCUAGGGUUGUAAAGCUCUUUUACCCGGGAAGAUAAUGACUGUACCGGGAGAAUAAGCCCCGGCUAACUCCGUGCCAGCAGCCGCGGUAAUACGGAGGGGGCUAGCGUUGUUCGGAAUUACUGGGCGUAAAGCGCACGUAGGCGGCUUUGUAAGUCAGAGGUGAAAGCCUGGAGCUCAACUCCAGAACUGCCUUUGAGACUGCAUCGCUUGAAUCCAGGAGAGGUCAGUGGAAUUCCGAGUGUAGAGGUGAAAUUCGUAGAUAUUCGGAAGAACACCAGUG
This 567-nucleotide ribosomal RNA is filed under the name uncultured bacterium. RNAcentral's name for it is "bacterial SSU rRNA". It matches the Rfam family "Bacterial small subunit ribosomal RNA", at positions 112 to 714 of the family's 1533-position model. The record is from RNAcentral.